RNAcentral lists this unclassified non-coding RNA (267 nucleotides) under Bombus terrestris (buff-tailed bumblebee). RNAcentral describes it as "misc RNA ENSBTSG00005027585.1". Lineage: Eukaryota; Metazoa; Arthropoda; Insecta; Hymenoptera; Apidae. The record is from RNAcentral.
UGAUGUUAGUCUCCCUGAUGAUAUUCGUUAGAAUAGCGCAGCAUCCAUGGUAACGUCCUCUGUUUCUCCGCUUCGAACGAUCAGGAUUUUCAGAUUUAACCCUUUCCGUGCCCAUUGUUAGGAUCUCAUUCACGUGCCCAGGUGCUACUUGAAUGGGAGGAUGACAUUGAGCACGAUGAUCAUAUUUAAUGUAGUAAUUUCUCAGCGACUGAUGAUGGGUUAGUGUAUCGUGCACGACGUAUUUUCCACAUUGUGUGUGUGUGUGUG